ACAGAUUCAGGCAGCUGGUAAAAACUCAUGAAAUCCUCUGCAGCACAGAAGGUAGCAUUUCCCUGCGGUUUGUGCUCUCUCAAGGUUGUCGUAUUAUACGUGUGCCAUUUUCACUGUGAGAACGUGCAGCGAGAGGGGCAGAAAGCAUGUGUGUGUCAUUACAGUACCUACCACUUACGUGGCUUUCGGUGACAGACCUGGAGUCUAAUGUCAGCGGUCCUGUCUGCGUCUCCAUUGGAUGUGUUCGCCGUGCACUGGGUAUCCCAGGUGGGGACUGCGCCCUUCCCAGUAAAGCCUGUCCCUUCAGCAGUGUGGCCUGGCUCUUUGAAUUCCAAUUUAUUGCCAAGUCUCCAGUUUCGACCUAAAGCAGGUUUAGGUGGAGCUGGUGCUUUACAGAAAACCAUUUUUCUCACUGCUCAAUGAUACUGUCAAAGUGGCUUCUACCAUUUUUCACAUUUUGAGAAUAUAAAUAUUGAAGAAAACCAAAGAAUCACAUGCAAAAAUAUUGCUUGUUAUUUUAACAAGGCUCACGGUGUCUUGAAAAGGGUCUUUGUGGCAUAGGUUGACGUUGCCGUAAACUCCGCCAAAGCUUUGUUGUAGCUCUUUGUUAUAAAAAUAUGUCUGCCAACUUAUAUCUUUAAGAAUUUCAACUUGGAGCAAUUAUAUCCAUCCUUUCAUUCAGUGAUUGAUAAACUUGAGAGACAUUAUCCAAUCGCAUCCCGACUACUGAUGAGACACGCAGUUUCUUUUUCCCAUGCCUCAAAAUAAAAUAUUAAUUCAGUGGGUUCUAAAUUUAAAUCAUCUGUGGGAAGAAGCCUGGAGUAGUAAUGCGCUCACAACUUUUGGUCAGCAUCUCAUUUCAACAUUGCUGGCAUUUCCUCCAAAAGACAGAAGGACACGCUGAAAUUAACCUGCUCUGGAAAUCAUGUGUGUGUUGAUGUGUAUGCAUUCAAUUCCAUUUGACAAAUCUUUGCAGCAAAGAGAAGGUUCUAGUGUGAGGCCAAACCUUAGCGUAUAUCCAAACUACAUCUUUUGAAAGCUCUACUUUUAGAGUAAAUACGUGUUCCUUGAUUUGCCCUCUCCAGGCAGCGGAUUCGAAUUCAGACACCUGAUACUUUGGAGGCCGUAUCACAGGAAAGGCCACGAAAGGUCAGAGACAGGUCCCGUGGCGCUUUGCUGUGGAAUUCUCCUCCCAGUUGUACAAAGAACUCCACACACCAGGUGGUCAGUGUUCCAAGGACCACCAGGGACAGAUUCUCUACCGAGAGCCUACCUCGGUCCUCAUGCCUCUCCCUCCUUGCACAGAAUAGUGACCACACCACCCACCUCCCGCCUGGUUCUGCCCUCCAUAAGCCAUGCCCCCCCAAAACAGAAAUACAUCACCACCGACUUCUUAUAAACUUACAAUUACCCCUCACUCUUUUAAUUUCCUUCUUUUUCUACUUAAACUUUAAUUUCAGGUAUCUUCUGUAUGUCACAGAAGUCACGUUCCAAGUAGAAUUAAAAGAAAAUUAACGUGGGGCAUGGGAUGGACGUUUCUUGCCUUAUUCUCCAUCUUAAUAACUCAAAGUCAACCUGAAUAAUAGGAAUAUUAUUAACCCAGCUCCAUUUUCGACUUUAAGUCACAACUUACAUUUUGGUUCUGAUUGGUGUUAUUUUAAUUGCCGUAAUGAAUAUUCCAUGUUUCAUUAUGAAGGCAGCAUGUACAAAAUGGCUCUGGGGAAGUUCUUUUGGAUCUUU
Molecule: long non-coding RNA, 1740 nt
Filed under: Lynx pardinus (Iberian lynx)
Lineage: Eukaryota; Metazoa; Chordata; Mammalia; Carnivora; Felidae
Source: RNAcentral